CACUAGGAAGCUAAUUCGGCAAUAAGCGUUAGCCUUUUAAGCUAAAAAUUGGUGCCUGCCACCCACCUCUAGUGA
This 75-nucleotide transfer RNA is filed under the name Cynoglossus sinicus. Its description in RNAcentral is "tRNA-Lys". It matches the Rfam family "tRNA". Rfam says of the family: Transfer RNA (tRNA) molecules are approximately 80 nucleotides in length. Their secondary structure includes four short double-helical elements and three loops (D, anti-codon, and T loops). Lineage: Eukaryota; Metazoa; Chordata; Actinopteri; Pleuronectiformes; Cynoglossidae. The record is from RNAcentral.